Long non-coding RNA from Podarcis raffonei (Aeolian wall lizard), 439 nucleotides. RefSeq lists it as uncharacterized. The record is from RefSeq and is a predicted model, not a curated record. The transcript is spliced from 3 exons. Lineage: Eukaryota; Metazoa; Chordata; Lepidosauria; Squamata; Lacertidae.
UGCAGUACCUGGUGUCCAGUAAUACUGUAAAGGCAGAAUGACCACCCACCCAAGGGCCUGUUGAAAUUAAUUUCAUUUGCUUGGCCAGAGUGACAUCAACCACCAUAACAGAGGAUGACCAACUGAAUUCGCAGCUCUGCCUGAGGCUGAAAACCUGAAAAGACAUGAUGUCGCGGCAACAGCAGAGCAGAAAUAGGCGAAGAAUGAUUCGCCUUAGGAGACAACAGCGUAGCAGGAAACUGGCUGCUCGAAGACUCCCGAGGCAGAUGAGAGCAGGCAGACGCCAGUCCCAUUACCGGAGAGCCUCAGCUGCAGUCUAGCCUGGGUCACUUUCUGUAGUGAGAUAACUGCUGCAAACGAAGGAAAAGACCGUGCCAGAAACCAGGAUGAAGCACCAGGCUGCUGGAAGCAUGCGCUGCACUCAAUAAACCAUUUGAAU